AUCGGUCCUCCCUUUGGCUCUCCCCGGCGGCUCUUGGGCCCCGCUUGCACCCGGCAACGGGGUAGGGAGGUCGUUCCUCAUCUCCGACCGAGUGGACAGCCGCGUCCUGCUCGGGUGGACAGCCCUCCCCUCCCCCACGCCAGUUUCGGGGCCGCCAAGUUGUGUAGCCCGUGGGCUGCACCGAACGGACACAGCCCAGCCUUGAAAAGAUCUUUUGAGGUCGAGGAGGUCGAGACACCCAACUCCACCCCACCCCGGAGGGUCCAGACUCCCCUACUCCGAGCCACUGUGGCCAGCUCCACCCAGAAAUUCCAGGACCUGGGCGUGAAGAACUCAGAGCCGUCGGCCCGCCACGUGGACUCCCUAAGCCAGCGCUCCCCCAAGGCGUCCCUGCGGAGGGUGGAGCUCUCGGGCCCCAAGGCGGCUGAGCCGGUGUCCCGGCGCACUGAGCUGUCCAUUGACAUCUCGUCCAAGCAGGUGGAGAACGCCGGGGCCAUCGGGCCGUCCCGGUUCGGGCUCAAGAGGGCUGAGGUG
RNAcentral lists this small RNA (534 nucleotides) under Pongo abelii (Sumatran orangutan). RNAcentral's name for it is "processed transcript". The record is from RNAcentral. Lineage: Eukaryota; Metazoa; Chordata; Mammalia; Primates; Hominidae.